Nylanderia fulva is the source of this 913-nucleotide non-coding RNA. The record is from RefSeq and is a predicted model, not a curated record. Lineage: Eukaryota; Metazoa; Arthropoda; Insecta; Hymenoptera; Formicidae.
UAAUCUGUGAUUUGGGUGCAUUCGUUUAUGCAGUGACUGCCGCAGAAUGCCGCAGAUGUCGUUCGUUUACUCCACCUGCGCAACCGACUGCAGCGCAGUUUGUUGUUCGUUUAAGCAGAGCUGCUGCCUAUCUGCGCAGCCAUCUCGGAGUUCCUGCUCAGGAUGCUUUGCUCGCAGUACUGCGGACUACUGCGUAUGUUAUGAAAGUUCAGAACAAAGAAGGUGGAGAAUAACUCCUCCAAAUAGGUCCUACAAAACUAAAAGUAAUGCAAGUCAUUCCUAGCUAUCAAGCUACUUCGUCCCCAGUUAGUUUGGAAAAAUCUGAGAAGUCUACAUUCAGCAACAUUUCAAUCCUACCGUCAUCACUGUCUGAAAAUGUUAUGUGCACACGUCAUAUGUCAGAACCUUCAACCUAUUUAAAAAUUUUAUUAUAUUUAUUCAAAUAAUAAUUCAUAUUUAUUUAAAAUUUCUUUACUUACGCACUCCAAUUACAAUCUGAGCAGUCAAUUCACGCAGGUGAUCGUUCGAUAAAUGAUGUCACGUGACUCGCAGAUAAUAGACGCAGUGGAUGCGCUAAUCGCUGCAUAAACGAAUGCACCCUUUGUGUCAACGCGCGCUUGCAAUAGUCGGAAGAUGGCGGAAAAACCACGUGACUUCGAGAGCCAAUCAAAAAUGGUUCGGAGUUGGCGCAUCUCUGGGUAUCGAUUCUAUAACUUUUUCUAAAGUGAAAACGUGAAAGUGAAAAUUACGCUGUUAAACCACGUAGCAUCCAUACGGAAACCUUUUGCAUUGAUAAAAAUAAAAAAUUAACAAAAAAUUAAAUCAAUUUGAGCUAAAAACAAUGAUAGAUUUCUUCAAUAUUUUGACAUGAGAACUGAGAACUGUAAAAAAUUUGGAAAAAAACACUAAUAUA